GACGAACGCUGGCGGCGUGCUUAACACAUGCAAGUCGAACGGAAAGGCCCUGCGCUUGUGGGGUGCUCGAGUGGCGAACGCGUGAGUAAAACGCGUGUAAACCGCCCUUGUCAUUGGGAUAACUCCAGGAAACUGGGGCUAAUACCGGAUAGGAGCUCUUGCAGCAUGGGGGGGGUUGGAAAGUGUCGGCGGUUGGGGCUCGACUCGCGGGUUAUCAGCCUGUUGGUGGGGUAGUGGCUUACCAAGCCUUUGACGGGUAGCCGGCCUGAGAGGGUGACCGGCCACCUUGGGACUGAGAUACGGCCCAGAAUCCUACGGGAGGCAGCAGUGGGGAAUAUUGCACAAUGGGCGGACGCCUGAUGCAGCAACGCCGCGUGCGGGAUGACGGCCUUCGGGUUGUAAACCGCUUUCGCCUGUGACGAAGCGUGAGUGACGGUAAUGGGUAAAGAAGCACCGGCUAACUACGUG
This 468-nucleotide ribosomal RNA is filed under the name uncultured bacterium. RNAcentral's name for it is "partial 16S ribosomal RNA". It matches the Rfam family "Bacterial small subunit ribosomal RNA", at positions 28 to 507 of the family's 1533-position model. The record is from RNAcentral.